Molecule: ribosomal RNA, 466 nt
Filed under: uncultured bacterium
Lineage: Bacteria
Description: partial 16S ribosomal RNA
Rfam family: Bacterial small subunit ribosomal RNA
Source: RNAcentral
GAUGAACGCUGGCGGCGUGCUUAACACAUGCAAGUCGAACGAUGAAGCCCAGCUUGCUGGGUGGAUUAGUGGCGAACGGGUGAGUAACACGUGAGUAACCUGCCCUUAACUCUGGGAUAAGCCUGGGAAACUGGGUCUAAUACCGGAUAGGAGCGUCCACCGCAUGGUGGGUGUUGGAAAGAUUUAUCGGUUUUGGAUGGACUCGGGGCCUAUCAGCUUGUUGGUGAGGUAAUGGCUCACCAAGGCGACGACGGGUAGCCGGCCUGAGAGGGUGACCGGCCACACGGGGACUGAGACAGGGCCCAGACUCCAACGGGGGGCAGCGGUGGGGAAUAUUGCACAGUGGGCGCAAGCCUGAGGCGGCGACGCCGCGUGAGGGAUGACGGCCUUCGGGUUGUAAACCUCUUUCGGUAGGGAAGAAGCGAAAGUGACGGUACCUGCAGAAGAAGCACCGGCUAACUACGUG